Molecule: non-coding RNA, 27 nt
Filed under: Homo sapiens (human)
Lineage: Eukaryota; Metazoa; Chordata; Mammalia; Primates; Hominidae
Source: RNAcentral
UAGUCCUUAGGGUACUUAGCACCAUGA